Molecule: long non-coding RNA, 355 nt
Filed under: Brachypodium distachyon (stiff brome)
Lineage: Eukaryota; Viridiplantae; Streptophyta; Magnoliopsida; Poales; Poaceae
Description: long non-coding RNA (BDIS_LNC000506)
Source: RNAcentral
UGGGGAAUGGCUAGGCGAAGCCUUCCAAUGCCGCCAGAGAAGUUUUUGGGUGCUAGGCCCUGGGCAGCUGCCCUUUUUUUUUGUUUGGCUGCCGCCAGAGUGUUGUGCUCCUUACAUUGUACUGAAAUCUGUUCGUCUUUUAAAAAAGUUUAGCAUGUGUACAGUUUCCCAACAAUUUUUCUGAACUGUGCAAUCUACUUAAUUUUUGUGCCAUACUCAGGACGAUCGAUCGAUUCCGAUACUCAGCAUCAUGCCCAGUCUCCUCACCUCUGCUUCUUUCUGACUUCGUGUUUUCUUUCUUCUCUAUCUUUCUUCCAUUUUUUGUUGCAGUACUUCAGAUGUACUGCAUGCAUGU